RNAcentral lists this ribosomal RNA (1135 nucleotides) under Osmia ferruginea. RNAcentral's name for it is "partial 16S ribosomal RNA". The stretch from base 973 to 1131 matches the Rfam family "Archaeal large subunit ribosomal RNA", at positions 2542 to 2701 of the family's 2987-position model. The record is from RNAcentral. Lineage: Eukaryota; Metazoa; Arthropoda; Insecta; Hymenoptera; Megachilidae.
UUUAUGUUUUAGUAAAUUUUAGAAUAAAUAUAUUAUAUUGAUAGUUUAAGUAAUGUAAAUGAAAUUAGAUAGAUUUUAUAAAGUAUAAUUAAAUUUAGUACCUUUUGUAUCAGGGUUGAUUAAAAAAUUUUUAUUAAUAAUAAAUAUCUCGAAAUUAAAAGAGCUAAAUAUAUAAAUUUUUUUUUGUGGAAUAAAAAUUAUUAAUAUAUAUUUAGAGAUUAAAUGUUAUUCAAUUUUAAUGAUAUCUAGUUUUUUUUGAAUUAAAUUUAAUUUAUAGGUUUUUAGAAAUAAUUUUUUAUUAUAAAAAAUUAUUUUAUGAGAAUUUAAAUAAUUUAUGGGUUAAACUAUAAAUUAAUAUAUAAUUUAUAUAUGUAUAUGGAUAUUGUAAAUAUUAAUUUUAAAAUUAGAUUGUAUAUAAUAAAAAUGUAAAAAUUUAUUUAAUUUUAUAUAUUAUUUAAUAUAUUUUUUAAAGAAAAAUUAAUUUUAAUAUUAUUAAUUAAGUUAAAAUGAUUAAAUGAGUAAUAUAAAUUGUAUAAUUGAUUUUGUUUGGAAGUAUAUAUAUAUAUUUAAGGAAUUAGGCAAAAUUUAUAUUCACCUGUUUACCAAAAACAUGUCUUUUUGAAUUUAAUUUAAAGUCAGUUCUGCUCAAUGAAAAGUUAAAUAGCUGCAGUAUCUUGACUGUACAAAGGUAGCAUAAUAGAUUGUCUUUUAAUUAAAGGCUGGAAUGAACGAAUUAAUGAAAUAUAAACUGUCUCAAUUAUAUAAAAUGAAAUUAAAUUUUAAGUAAAAAUGCUUAAAUAAUUUUGAGGGACGAUAAGACCCUAUAGAAUUUUAUAUAUUUAUGAAUUUAUUAAAUUUAUAUGUAUAUUUGAUUGGGAGGAUUUUUAAAUUUAAUAAACUUUAAAGUUUUAAAAUAUUAAUUUAUAGAAUUUAUGAAAUAUUUUUUAUAUUAUAAGAAUAAAUUACCUUAGGGAUAACAGCGUAAUAUUUUUGGAAAGAUCAAAUUGAAAAAAGUGUUUGCGACCUCGAUGUUGAAUUAAAAUUAAUUAUAAAUGCAGGAGUUUAUAAAUUAGGUCUGUUCGACCUUUAAAAUUUUACAUGAUUUGAGUUCAGAUCGACGUGAGUCAGAUUGGUU